Long non-coding RNA from Calidris pugnax (ruff), 1375 nucleotides. RefSeq lists it as uncharacterized. The transcript has 2 exons. The record is from RefSeq and is a predicted model, not a curated record. Lineage: Eukaryota; Metazoa; Chordata; Aves; Charadriiformes; Scolopacidae.
AUCUAAGUGGGUUUAGCACAAGAAUAAAAAGGAGGUAGUCCAUAAGGUGAAACAGGUGGUUCCUUCAGUACCCUGUUUUGUUUGCAUUAUCUCAUGAUUCAUAAGCCCAGCUCUCAGGUGUGAGAGCAAAGCAGUACAGGGAAGUGGUAUAUACAAUUUUAAAGCACUUGCUUUCUUCUUCGUUAGCUGGCUCCUCUUUUGUUAAUAGCUUUGCUGUUGCAGCCAGAGAGCUAUGGAAGAGGGGGGAACGUAGCUUUACAUUCAUGCCCGUGCCAUAGCAGAGGAAAAGCUGUAUGAAGAAUGAAAGCAAUAAUCCUGAAAAUGUCAGGUGGCAGGAUCUGAACGUGAUGCUUGUCGUUUUCCUUUGUUGUUUGGUCCUUUUCAUCUGCUGCUUGUGUUUGUAGUGCUGAUCGUGCUCUGUCUGGUUCCUUCUGGCAAAGCAAGUAAAAAGGGGUUUUUUUAUGACCUCUUUAGAAAAUAAACUUGAUGUGGUUGUUUCUUGGUUUGUUUUUAGUCUGAUGAGGAAGGUGGCAAGGAGAGAGAAGGUGAAGAAGGCCAACAGAAAUUUAUUGCACAUGUUCCAGUGCCAUCUCAACAGGAGAUUGAGGAAGCUCUUGUACGGCGAAAGAAGAUGGAGCUUCUUCAGAAGUACGCCAGUGAGACCCUCAUGGCACAGAGUGAAGAAGCAAAAACGCUGUUAGGAUUGUAACGUUGCACCAGUACGUCCCUGUUUCUGUAAAAUCCGUCUGAAAGCAGCAGGUUCAUGUAUUCUGGUAGCAGUGGCUUUUAGCUCUGAAGGUCCCUUUGGGUGGUAGGAGUAGACUGAUGGAGUUAGUGUGUGCUGCAGGAGGAAACCCGUUGUUUUGGUUUAUCCUCUAGGAUGACUUGUGCUGCGGUGCUGAAAAAGAUCAAACGUAGGUUUAACAUGUUUCUGCAUCUCCAGCAACUCUGCAGUCCUUUGGCUGUGUAAAACGGUGUGUACAGAUAGAGCCACAAACCCAGGGGCUCCCUAAAUCCAGAAGGAAAACUGGGUGGUGUUACUGCUGCAUCCCAGCUGUCAGUGUGCACGUCUUCCCCAGGAUGAUUUUUGCAGAGUCCAGAAGUAACGUACUCCAUUAUGCCUGGUUGGUUUACCAGAAUGGCCCAGAACCUGUCCAGAGGUACCUCGAUGGCAGGUCUCAUGAGUGGCUCAGAAGUCCAUUUGGUUCUUUAUACAACAGAUGGAAUGUGUCUAAAAGCUCUCACCCUUUUUGUGGUUUGUGACCGUGCCUGGGUGAAUUGCUUAAACGCUGGAUAUUUCAGCAGCCAUUGUAAAUACUUCCAACUUUGCAAUGCCUUGUUCCAAUAUUUUUAGUAAAACUUAUUUACAGCCUGG